RNAcentral lists this ribosomal RNA (676 nucleotides) under uncultured Staphylococcus sp. RNAcentral's name for it is "bacterial SSU rRNA". It matches the Rfam family "Bacterial small subunit ribosomal RNA", at positions 61 to 719 of the family's 1533-position model. The record is from RNAcentral. Lineage: Bacteria; Bacillati; Bacillota; Bacilli; Caryophanales; Staphylococcaceae.
GUCGAGCGAACAGACGAGGAGCUUGCUUCUCUGACGUUAGCGGCGGACGGGUGAGUAACACGUGGAUAACCUACCUAUAAGACUGGGAUAACUUCGGGAAACCGGAGCUAAUACCGGAUAAUAUAUUGAACCGCAUGGUUCAAUAGUGAAAGACGGUUUUGCUGUCACUUAUAGAUGGAUCCGCGCCGCAUUAGCUAGUUGGUAAGGUAACGGCUUACCAAGGCAACGAUGCGUAGCCGACCUGAGAGGGUGAUCGGCCACACUGGAACUGAGACACGGUCCAGACUCCUACGGGAGGCAGCAGUAGGGAAUCUUCCGCAAUGGGCGAAAGCCUGACGGAGCAACGCCGCGUGAGUGAUGAAGGUCUUCGGAUCGUAAAACUCUGUUAUUAGGGAAGAACAAAUGUGUAAGUAACUAUGCACGUCUUGACGGUACCUAAUCAGAAAGCCACGGCUAACUACGUGCCAGCAGCCGCGGUAAUACGUAGGUGGCAAGCGUUAUCCGGAAUUAUUGGGCGUAAAGCGCGCGUAGGCGGUUUUUUAAGUCUGAUGUGAAAGCCCACGGCUCAACCGUGGAGGGUCAUUGGAAACUGGAAAACUUGAGUGCAGAAGAGGAAAGUGGAAUUCCAUGUGUAGCGGUGAAAUGCGCAGAGAUAUGGAGGAACACCAGUGGCGAA